This is a long non-coding RNA of Aplysia californica (California sea hare), 3698 nucleotides long. RefSeq lists it as uncharacterized. The transcript has 2 exons. The record is from RefSeq and is a predicted model, not a curated record. Lineage: Eukaryota; Metazoa; Mollusca; Gastropoda; Aplysiida; Aplysiidae.
GUGCAGGAUGCCUGAGAUUGUGUACACCUGUCAAAGCUUUGAAUGAGUGGGUGGAGGCUGGGGUCCUAUACUGGUAAACUUGUGUUGUGCUCAGAGAUGUGAGCAGCGAGAUGAGAUCUGAUGGAUGUUUUUACCUUUUGAGUUCUCCCGAUAUUUUAGUGGCUGGUUUCUCGUGAUGUCGUUGCUAUCACAAGGCUGUGACUGGGGGUACUCUUUAUAUUGCGUUUGAACUACCCAUAUUUUGCUUUGUUUUAGAAAAGCAGAUGUGCCUAAAAUGAGGAAGACUGGUACAGACAUGAUAAAAUGUAUAUUGCCCAAUGGUUUGGGUGUUUUUCAUCAGGGUUUUUUUUGUUUGUUUGUUGUUUUUUUUGUUUAGUAAUUUAGUCUUGAGAAUGCAGAAGGUUAGAUGCUGAGGAUUUUUUUGUUUUGUUUUUUCUGUUCAGAAAUGAAUAUCUUUUACAGAACUGACUUCAAGAGGUGCAUUUAACUGUACAGUCUAGUACCAACAUAGUGAAAUCGGUGGGAUACAGAAGUCUGUUAACUAUGUACGAAUUAGGCCUAUAUGUAUACACAUGUGUGAGAAACAAUUCUGGAUUUGAAAAUCUGUUGGUUAUAUGCGUUUUUUUCGCUAACACGGUGUUCACUAUGUGCGUGCUAGACUGUAUUGUGUAUAUAAUAUUUAUACAUAUAUAUAUAUAUAAUUGAUGUCUGGUUGUUCCAGUAUGUUCUCAGAACACAGGUCUUGUUGGGUGCUGGUGUGUAGGACAAUCCCAGUCCUGGGCCGGCCGUGGAGACGUCUGACGGUCAAACUUUGUCAGCGAGCUAGUCAAGUGUACUGAGCUCACAGAGCACAAUUGUGUCAGGAGAGAGAAAAAGCUGCUUCUUUCUUGAAGCGAAAGUGUUCUCUGGUGUUCUGUUGCCGUGUAGCUCCGUCCUGGAGCUGUAGAUGCCUGUCUGACGCGAGUCUAGUCCUCACUCUCAUGGAGAAGAAGUCUAUGCAGUUUUCUUUUUUUUUUACCGUAUUAUGUCAGAUCUGUUGCUACGUUUUGUAGCAAUUGUUUUUGGUUGUUCUCAUUUUGUACAUUGUACCUUGAUAUGAUGGAAUUUUCUGCCAUGACAAGUGUUUUGAUUGUUUAUGCUGAUGUUUCCUAUUUCCCGACUCUCGGGGCUCUACUAGAUGUACUGCUUUAUUUUACCCGUCUUUUUCACCGAGCUGCACAUUUUUGUCUGGGUUCUAUGCAGAAAUCUGCACUGGUACGGUAGUAGGUUUGUCGUUAUUUGCCACUUUGACCACUGUGCACAUCUGUCGUUGUCUUUCCUUGCUACGCUAACGACGUUCUUAAUUAUGCUUCUAUUUAUUUUAAUAUCUUUUUUUUUUAAUUCACAGAUCUGACAAGGGGGUUAAGUACACUUUGGUACAGUAUUUUUAAUUAUGGAAGAAUGACUUCUAAUUUUUCACCUAUAAAAAUGUUUGAACAAAGCGUUUUCUCCCAUUAAAACUGACUGCUUGCGCGUUUCCUAAUUUGGCGCCUUCCCCUCCCCCUGAUUUUCCACACAUGACUUACAGAGAGGAACAGGGACAGGCUUCUUUUGUUCACUUGUCUAUGAUAUGGGGGAAGAGAGGGGGAGGUUCGCAGACUUUCUACCAUAAUGGUCCUUCUGUUCACAUUCACACUGGAGCUCUUAUCGGCAGUUUUGUAGAAGACUGCGGCGUGAACCAUUUUGAAAAGUGACAUGUGACAGAAUCUUACACUGGCCGUUCAUUAUGUGGUGACUAGAUAAUGAGUUCAGAGAAGCCAAAGACGCUCGCAUCUUCACGGUCUUUGUCUCUGUGGAGAGCUUCAAAUCAGCAUUAAAUUCCAUUUCAGCGAGAGUACAUUUUUUUAAAUAUGCUUUUGUGUAAGGAAAGAAAGUGACGGCUUAAGGGAGUGACUGUUUCCAUUACAUGCUGACCAUUGUAGGAAACAUGGGAUUGGUGAUUUUUUUUUUUUUAAAUUGAGACAUUUUCAUCGAAGCAAUCUGUGUUUUACAGUAUUUUCCUUCAUGUGUGGGUAUGGCCUUGCAUGUUUUUAUUGAAGCCAAAACAAGAAUGUGUGGUUAGAACAUCUCUUCAUUUGUCGGGCUGAUAUGCAUUUAGUGUGUGUGUAUAUAUAUAUAUAGAGAGAGAGAGAGAGAGAGAGAGCUGUAGACAGGACUGUUCACUUCACCGUUGUCAUGUCAAUAAUUUUCUGGAGAGAUCCACACUCUCGUGUUUUGUUUACUUUGCCUGACUCUCAUGCAAAGCUCUCAACAACUGUUCCAUCUAGCUUUCACUAGUACUGGGGAUGUCGGAAAAAAAUCUAUGCAUUUUUCAUGUGCAUUCUACAGUCAGCACUGAUGACACAAACACAGAAAAUUGGAAAUCAGGGAUAGCUCUUACAAUAUGCCAUUCCCCAACUAGAUAUCUCUUUAAUGUUUCGUUAAACUGUUUACCAUACCCGAAAUAAUAGAUGUAUGGCAAACACUUUAGAUGUAUGUCAAACACGUAAUUUGCCAAUCCCCUACGUGUUUGAGUUGUCCGUGCUCGACUGUAUUUUUUAAAUUCUAGUGUAGCUGAUUGUUGAAUGUGUAGCCUCUGUUGGAUCUGUUACUUGGUAGCUUUUUUGUCUGAAGUGAAAAGAGCACCAGGAUCUGUGGUGUAGCGGUUAGGCACUUCGCCAUCGCACGCAGAAGACCCGAGUUUGAUUCCUGAGAGGAGAGAGUUUUUGUCUAGCAAAUUGGGUCUUUCUGUUGGGAUGCUGUGUGUCCCUCUCAGUUCUAGUUAGCCCUGACUGGUCAGGUCAAAGCCCGCUUCCUGAAUUAUCUAAAUUGUGUGGAUGGGGAUGUAAAACACCUACGGUACAUUAGAAAUGGAGAGCUUAUAUAAAAUUAUAUAAAUCUAUCCAGUUUCUUUUUGGGGCUUGUAGUUUUCAAAGAGAGAAAAUCACUGAACUACUACUUGUACAAGACAAGCUGUGGUAUAUAGGGGUUUCAAGGAGUUUGUAGUUGGCUUUGGGGUUUUACUCAGCAAGAAAGCGACUUCAGACUUUACUUUUGGGAGAGAAAAAAGGGUAUCGGGGAUAAUUGUUUGUAAACUCAAGCAUGGGGUAAUUUUCCGUAAUUUAUUCUAUAUUUAUAUAUAUAGAAUGAGCUCAACACGAAGUGCAGACACACAAUAGCUUUGGGGAGGUCGUAUGUUGUCAUAAGUCUUGCUUCUUUUUCUCUGUCUGUGGAGUUAGUUCUCAGACUUGGCAAAAGAUUCCUUUUCCCUUUUCCUCACAUAGACCUAGCUAGAUAUGUCUUUCUAUGUCCUGUUGUUCCGUCAGUGUGUAGAAGUUUUGCAAAGAUGUUCCUCACUCACUCUCAUUGUAGAAGUAGUGGUUAUUGUCGCCCAUCUCUCCAUCGAUCGGUGUGGUGUGUUUUAGCGCCAAGGAGACGGCUCGCCUCAGUCUCUCCAUCGAUCGGUGUGGUGUGUUUUAGCGCCAAGGAGACGGCUCGCCUCAGUCUCUCGGCCAUGACUGUAUGUUCUCUGUGUUUUCGCUGUGGUUUCUCAUGCAUAUUAUGAAUUAUUAUGUAAUGUGCUGUUUCAUGGUAACAGCUUUUUUUUUUUUGUAAAAUGUUUUACCUCGCGAUGAAAUAUCUUGUCAUGUAGAAAUAAAUUACAGAUAGCUACAGACGCA